RNAcentral lists this small RNA (170 nucleotides) under Desulfofarcimen acetoxidans. RNAcentral describes it as "Desulfotomaculum acetoxidans Magnesium sequence". It matches the Rfam family "M-box riboswitch aptamer (ykoK leader)". Rfam says of the family: M-box riboswitch, also know as ykoK leader is described as a metaloregulatory RNA that sense divalent metals and function as a genetic control element of genes related to divalent metal transport in bacteria. The record is from RNAcentral. Lineage: Bacteria; Bacillati; Bacillota; Clostridia; Eubacteriales; Peptococcaceae. RNAcentral also lists the same sequence under 1 other name.
AUAAUUCCUCGUUAGGUGAGGCUUCUGCAUAGAACAUAUGCCACUGCCCGGAUAGGUCGAAAGACCGUAACGGGUUAACAGGUAUUACCGGAUUAAGGUUUUAUCUAAUGUGGCUGAGAUUUAUGUCUCUAGCUGUGCAUGUGCCAAAACUCGUACGAGUGGGGAAUGGG